Molecule: ribosomal RNA, 478 nt
Filed under: uncultured Methanosaeta sp.
Lineage: Archaea; Methanobacteriati; Methanobacteriota; Methanomicrobia; Methanotrichales; Methanotrichaceae
Description: bacterial SSU rRNA
Rfam family: Archaeal small subunit ribosomal RNA
Source: RNAcentral
AAAGGAAUUGACGGGGAGCACCACAACGGGUGGAGCUUGCGGUUUAAUUGGAUCAACGCCGGAAAUCUUACCGGGACCGACAGCAAUAUGAAGGCCAGGCUGAAGACUUUGCCGGAUUAGCUGAGAGGUGGUGCAUGGCCGUCGUCAGUUCGUACUGUGAAGCAUCCUGUUAAGUCAGGCAACGAGCGAGACCCACGCCCACAGUUGCCAGCGUACUCUCUGGAGUGACGGGUACACUGUGGGACCGCCGCUGCUAAAGCGGAGGAAGGAAUGGGCAACGGUAGGUCAGUAUGCCCCGAAUAUCCCGGGCUACACGCGAGCUACAAUGGUUGGUACAAUGGGUAUCUACCCCGAAAGGGGACGGGAAUCUCCUAAAACCAAUCUUAGUUCGGAUUGAGGGCUGCAACUCGCCCUCAUGAAGCUGGAAUCCGUAGUAAUCGCGUUUCAACAGAACGCGGUGAAUACGUCCCUGCUCCUU